UUGUACAUUAUCUAGAAUCAUAACUAGAAUCAUCCAUAAACAAGUAUAAAUAGGGGAUGUCUUAUUCAUCUGUAACGAUCAAGAAAGUCUUCUUCAAUAACAAAGCUCUCCUUUCAAAAAUUACUCUUCUCUUUUCAAGCUUCAUCUUCUUUAGUUGAAUACUCCAACCUGAGUUAACGAUUUUUAGUUAGCAGAAAGUCUCUGAAAAAUACUCUUUUUCUGUUACUCUUUACGCUGAGCAGCCUUUGAGGGUCAUCAUCAAGGGCUGACGUGGA
RNAcentral lists this long non-coding RNA (275 nucleotides) under Nicotiana benthamiana. RNAcentral's name for it is "long non-coding RNA (NBEN_LNC013685)". The record is from RNAcentral. Lineage: Eukaryota; Viridiplantae; Streptophyta; Magnoliopsida; Solanales; Solanaceae.